UUACCUACGGGGGGCAGCAGUGGGGGAUAUUGCACAAUGGGGGAAACCCUGAUGCAGUGACGCCGCGUGAGUGAAGAAGUAAUUCGUUAUGUAAAGCUCUAUCAGCAGGGAAGAAAAAAGACGGUACCUGACUAAGAAGCCCCGGCUAGCUACGUGCCAGCAGCCGCGGUAAUACGUAGGGGGCAAGCGUUAUCCGGAUUUACUGGGUGUAAAGGGAGCGUAGACGGCUGUGCAAGUCUGAAGUGAAAUGCCAGGGCUCAACCCCGGAACUGCUUUGGAAACUGUACAGCUAGAGUGCAGAAGGG
This 305-nucleotide ribosomal RNA is filed under the name uncultured bacterium. RNAcentral's name for it is "partial 16S ribosomal RNA". It matches the Rfam family "Bacterial small subunit ribosomal RNA", at positions 335 to 656 of the family's 1533-position model. The record is from RNAcentral.